RNAcentral lists this ribosomal RNA (473 nucleotides) under uncultured bacterium. RNAcentral describes it as "bacterial SSU rRNA". It matches the Rfam family "Bacterial small subunit ribosomal RNA", at positions 28 to 507 of the family's 1533-position model. The record is from RNAcentral.
GAUGAACGCUGGCGGCGUGCUUAAGACAUGCAAGUCGAACGGACUUAAUCGAAAUAUUUAUAUUUUGAAGCGGUUAGUGGCGGACUGGUGAGUAACGCGUAAGGAACCUGCCUAUUAGAGGGGAAUAACAGUGAGAAAUCAUUGCUAAUACCGCAUAUGCCAUAGAUAUCACAUGAUAACAGUGGGAAAGGAGCAAUCCGCUAAUAGAUGGCCUUGCGUCUGAUUAGAUAGUUGGUGGGGUAACGGCCUACCAAGUCGACGAUCAGUAGCCGGACUGAGAGGUUGAACGGCCACAUUGGGACUGAGAUACGGCCCAGACUCCUACGGGAGGCAGCAGUCGGGAAUAUUGCGCAAUGGAGGAAACUCUGACGCAGUGACGCCGCGUAUAGGAAGAAGGUUUUCGGAUUGUAAACUAUUGUCGUUAGGGAAGAGAAAGGACAGUACCUAAGGAGGAAGCUCCGGCUAACUACGUG